Long non-coding RNA from Mesocricetus auratus (golden hamster), 426 nucleotides. RefSeq lists it as uncharacterized. The record is from RefSeq and is a predicted model, not a curated record. The transcript is spliced from 3 exons. NCBI's taxonomy places the organism in Eukaryota, Metazoa, Chordata, Mammalia, Rodentia, Cricetidae.
UCCUUGUAACAAUGGUAUGGCAGUGUUGAACAGCAGUGACAGAGGGACCUCAUGAUACACAAAGUCCAUCAUGUCUACCAUCUGGCCCUUCCUGGGACAUGUGCUAAGCCCUGCUCUACAAGUACUUGUGCCUAGAAUUUAGAUUUAAAGCCAUAGCUCCCUCCAGUGCUUCCCACAGAAAUACGGACUUACUUUGUAUGCUCACGGCUCGGGAACACAACUUUCCCCACUUUGCUCAUUCUCGCCAUCGCUUCCUGGUAAAUGGAAACAGCAAAGAACGUUGAGACGCAAGUGGUCUGAUGAGGAAACAGGAAGAGGAGGUGCUUAUUGGGGGGGAAGGGAGGUAAACACAGGAGGAGGAGAGACAUGAGUCAAGUAACAAUAGAAGUGUCUGAAAAAGCCCUCAAGGAAUCAUACCAUUAAACA